This 327-nucleotide ribosomal RNA is filed under the name uncultured bacterium. RNAcentral's name for it is "bacterial SSU rRNA". It matches the Rfam family "Bacterial small subunit ribosomal RNA", at positions 28 to 334 of the family's 1533-position model. The record is from RNAcentral.
GAUGAACGCUGGCGGCGUGCCUAACACAUGCAAGUCGAACGGACAUUUUUUGGAAGACUCUUCGGAACUGGAAUCUAAAUAGUUAGUGGCGGACGGGUGAGUAACGCGUGAGCAAUCUGCCUUUCAGAGGGGGAGUAACAGCCGGAAACGGCUGCUAAUACCGCAUAAGCUGUGAGUAUCGCAUGAUAUAAGCAGAAAAGGAGCAAUCCGCUGAUAGAUGAGCUUGCGUCUGAUUAGUUAGUUGGUAAGGUAACGGCCUACCAAGACGAUGAUCAGUAGCCGGACUGAGAGGUUGAACGGCCACAUUGGGACUGAGAUACGGCCCAG